This 1079-nucleotide ribosomal RNA is filed under the name Neohypnus sp. AB-2015. Its description in RNAcentral is "eukaryotic LSU rRNA". It matches the Rfam family "Eukaryotic large subunit ribosomal RNA", at positions 63 to 861 of the family's 3401-position model. The record is from RNAcentral. Lineage: Eukaryota; Metazoa; Arthropoda; Insecta; Coleoptera; Staphylinidae.
AACUAACUAGGAUUCCCCCAGUAGCGGCGAGCGAACAGGGAAGAGCCCAGCACCGAAUCCCGCGGCCGUUACCGUCCGCCGGGAAAUGUGGUGUUAGGGAGGAUCAUAGUCCCGCUGCCAAGCGGCGCGUCCAAGUUCACCUUGAACGGGGCCACUUACCCAAAAAGGGUGCCAGGCCCGUAGCGACCGCCGCCGGCGACGGGAGGAUCUCUCCUCAGAGUCGGGUUGCUUGAGAGUGCAGCCCUAAGUGGGUGGUAAACUCCAUCUAAGGCUAAAUACAACCACGAGACCGAUAGCGAACAAGUACCGUGAGGGAAAGUUGAAAAGAACUUUGAAGAGAGAGUUCAACAGUACGUGAAACCGUUCAGGGGUAAACCCGAGAAACUCGAAAGAUCGAACGGGGAGAUUCAGCGCGUCCCGUCGGUCGCGAGUGGCGAUCGAGCGACGGUCGGCGUACGCGCCGUCCGCGCCGUCGACGCCGCAGUCUGGCGGACGUGUGCACUUCUCCCCAAGUAGAAAGUCGUGACCCGUUGGGUACCGGUCUACGGCCCGCGGUGGAGACCGCGCGGACGGCCUUCGGCCGCCCGCCGGACCCGCGCAGCCCGGCCGGCCAGCCCGACGGCGCAGACAGUGGUGCGGGGUCGCGGCUUUACGUCGCGUCCGGCGCGCGGCAAGCUCUUCCGGUUCACUGUCCGACUGUCGGACCUGGCGCCGACACCGGACCCGGUCGCCUGCUGUCCGCGUCGUCCUCGGACCCAACCCGAGGGCGUCCCUUUCGGGGGUCGCCCGACACCGGUCUACGAGGCUUUUGCAUCGGGUACUCUCGGGAGCCGUCUUGAAACACGGAUCAAGGAGUCUAGCAUGUGCGCGAGUCAUUGGGACAUAGCGAAACCUAAAGGCGAAAUGAAAGCGAAGGCCGCCCCCGGGGCGCGCCUAGGGAGGAUGCGGGUCGCUGCGGCGUCCCGCCGCACUCCCGGGGCGUCUCUGUAGCUCAUCGCGAGCUGAGGCGCACCCAGAGCGCACACGCCGGGACCCGAAAGAUGGUGAACUAUGCCUGGUCAGGACGAAGUCAGGGGAAA